ACGAAAAUUUUUAAUAAACAAGAACCGGUAAUCGCAGAUUCGAAAAACAAUUUCAUAAGUGAAACUCUAGACCAUUAAAGAAUAUAAACAAAAUAAUUUUUCAAUCAUGAUAAUUUUGAAGAUGAUUGAUUUCGCAUUAUUUUUUGUUUAAUAUUCUAGCCAUUCCAAUAAUUCAGGAGUAAAGUAAGUCAAAACUAUGUUAGCGCCAGCACGCAUAAAGCCAUCCAUGGUUUCCAUCACAUGUCUUUUUAAUUCAAAUACGCCAGCGGCAGCAGCAGCAUG
This is a non-coding RNA of Schizosaccharomyces pombe (fission yeast), 282 nucleotides long. NCBI's taxonomy places the organism in Eukaryota, Fungi, Ascomycota, Schizosaccharomycetes, Schizosaccharomycetales, Schizosaccharomycetaceae. The record is from the annotation of a GenBank genome assembly.